Molecule: transfer RNA, 27 nt
Filed under: Salvadora oleoides
Lineage: Eukaryota; Viridiplantae; Streptophyta; Magnoliopsida; Brassicales; Salvadoraceae
Description: partial tRNA-Leu
Source: RNAcentral
AAAUCCGUUGACUUUCAAAAUCGUGAG